AGAGUUUGAUCAUGGCUCAGAAUCAACGCUGGCGGCGCGCUUAACACAUGCAAGUCGAACGAGAAAGGGGAGCAAUCCCUGAGUAAAGUGGCGUACGGGUGAGUAACACGUGGGUAAUCUACCUUUUGGUGGGGAAUAACGCUGGGAAACCGGCGCUAAUACCGCAUAAGCUCGAAAGAGGAAAAGAGAAAUCUGCCGAAAGAGGAGCCCGCGGCUGAUUAGCUAGUUGGUGAGGUAAAGGCUCACCAAGGCAAUGAUCGGUAGCCGGCCUGAGAGGGCACACGGCCACACUGGCACUGAAACACGGGCCAGACUCCUACGGGAGGCAGCAGUGGGGAAUCUUGCACAAUGGGGGAAACCCUGAUGCAGCGACGCCGCGUGAAUGAUGAAGCCCUUCGGGGUGUAAAGUUCUUUCGGCAGGGACGAUAAUGACGGUACCUGAAGAAGAAGCUGCGGCUAACUACGUGCCAGCAGCCGCGGUAAUACGUAGGCAGCGAGCGUUGUUCGGAGUUACUGGGCGUAAAGAGUGCGUAGGCGGUUUUCUAAGUUUGGUGUGAAAUCUCCCGGCUCAACUGGGAGGGUGCGCCGAAGACUGGGAGGCUUGAGUAUGGGAGAGGUAAGCGGAAUUCCUGGUGUAGCGGUGAAAUGCGUAGAUAUCAGGAGGAACACCUGCGGUGUAGACGGCUUACUGGACCAUAACUGACGCUGAGGCACGAAAGCGUGGGUAGCAAACAGGAUUAGAUACCCUAGUAGUCC
RNAcentral lists this ribosomal RNA (756 nucleotides) under uncultured bacterium. RNAcentral's name for it is "bacterial SSU rRNA". It matches the Rfam family "Bacterial small subunit ribosomal RNA", at positions 8 to 796 of the family's 1533-position model. The record is from RNAcentral.